This 540-nucleotide ribosomal RNA is filed under the name fungal endophyte sp. M12-3171. Its description in RNAcentral is "eukaryotic LSU rRNA". The stretch from base 194 to 347 matches the Rfam family "5.8S ribosomal RNA". The record is from RNAcentral. Lineage: Eukaryota; Fungi.
GCGGAAGGAUCAUUACAACAAGGUUCCCUGGCCCUCGAAGCUUCGGCGGAGGGGGCUACAGCCUGACUUUAUACCCACCCUUUGCCUAUGUGUACCCCUAUUGCUUCCCUCGGCGGGUUCGCCCGCCGACAGGAACCAACUAAACCCUUUGCAUUAUACAUUUAACACUUCCGAUACAAAACUAAAUUAUUACAACUUUUAACAAUGGAUCUCUUGGUUCUGGCAUCGAUGAAGAACGCAGCGAAAUGCGAUAAGUAGUGUGAAUUGCAGAAUUCAGUGAAUCAUCGAAUCUUUGAACGCACAUUGCGCCCCUCGGUAUUCCGUGGGGCAUGCCUGUUCGAGCGUCAUUUACACCCUCAAGCUAUGCUUGGUGUUGGGCGUCUGUCCCGCCUUCGUGCGCGGACUCGCCUCAAAGUCAUUGGCAGCGGUCUCGUCGGCUUCUCGCGCAGCACAUUUGCGCUUCUCGGAGCCCCGGCGGAUCAGCGUCCAAGCAAGCGAUUUCAUGACUUGACCUCGGAUCAGGUAGGGAUACCCGCUGAA